Molecule: ribosomal RNA, 520 nt
Filed under: uncultured prokaryote
Description: bacterial SSU rRNA
Rfam family: Bacterial small subunit ribosomal RNA
Source: RNAcentral
CUACAUGCAUGAAACCUGGGGUGAAUAGUCGGCUGACUUGACGGGGAGUAACCCGUCCGGUUAUAAUACCCUGGGGUCAUGACGGUCCCGUAAGAAUAAGCACCGGCUAACUACGUGCCAGCAGCCGCGGUAAUACGUAGGGUGCAAGCGUUAAUCGGAAUUACUGGGCGUAAAAGCGUGCGCAGGCGGUUAUGUAAGACAGAGGUGAAAUCCCCGGGCUCAACCUGGGAACUGCCUUUGUGACUGCAAGGCUAGAGUACGGCAGAGGGGGAUGGAAUUCCGCGUGUAGCAGUGAAAUGCGUAGAUAUGCGGAGGAACACCGAUGGCGAAGGCAAUCCCCUGGGCCUGUUACUGACGCUCAUGCACGAAAGCGUGGGGAGCAAACAGGAAUUAGAUACCCUGGUAAUCCCCCCCCUAAACGAUGUCAACUGCUUGUCGGGUUCUUAACUGACUCAGUAACGAAAGCUAACGCUUGAAUUUGACCGCCUGGGGAGUACGGCCCCCAAGGUUGAAACUCAAA